RNAcentral lists this ribosomal RNA (253 nucleotides) under uncultured bacterium. RNAcentral's name for it is "partial 16S ribosomal RNA". It matches the Rfam family "Bacterial small subunit ribosomal RNA", at positions 524 to 776 of the family's 1533-position model. The record is from RNAcentral.
UACGUAGGGGGCAAGCGUUGUCCGGAAUCAUUGGGCGUAAAGCGCGCGUAGGCGGCCCGAUAAGUCCGCUGUGAAAGUCAACGGCUCAACUGUUGAACGCCGGUGGAUACUGUCGGGCUAGAGUCCGGAAGAGGCAAGUGGAAUUCCUGGUGUAGCGGUGAAAUGCGCAGAUAUCAGGAGGAACACCAAUAGCGAAGGCAGCUUGCUGGGACGGUACUGACGCUAAGGCGCGAAAGCGUGGGGAGCGAACAGG